This 67-nucleotide transfer RNA is filed under the name Dolabella auricularia (sea hare). RNAcentral's name for it is "tRNA-His". The record is from RNAcentral. Lineage: Eukaryota; Metazoa; Mollusca; Gastropoda; Aplysiida; Aplysiidae.
CUUGAGUUAGGUUAAGUUAAAACCGGGGACCUGUGGAGUCCCAGACCGUUUAGAAAACGACUUAUGU